UACAGAGGUCCCAAGCGUUGUUCGGAUUCAUUGGGCGUAAAGGGUGCGUAGGUGGCGCGCUAAGUCAGGUGUGAAAUUUCGGAGCUUAACUCCGAAACUGCAUUUGAUACUGGCGUGCUUGAGGACUGGAGAGGAGACUGGAAUUUACGGUGUAGCAGUGAAAUGCGUAGAUAUCGUAAGGAAGGCCGGUGGCGAAAGCGAGCCUCUGGACAGUUACUGACGCUGAUGCACGAAGGCCAGGGGAGCAAACGGG
RNAcentral lists this ribosomal RNA (253 nucleotides) under uncultured bacterium. RNAcentral's name for it is "partial 16S ribosomal RNA". It matches the Rfam family "Bacterial small subunit ribosomal RNA", at positions 524 to 776 of the family's 1533-position model. The record is from RNAcentral.